RNAcentral lists this ribosomal RNA (343 nucleotides) under Planomicrobium okeanokoites. Its description in RNAcentral is "bacterial SSU rRNA". It matches the Rfam family "Bacterial small subunit ribosomal RNA", at positions 872 to 1214 of the family's 1533-position model. Lineage: Bacteria; Bacillati; Bacillota; Bacilli; Caryophanales; Caryophanaceae. The record is from RNAcentral.
CCUGGGGAGUACGGCCGCAAGGCUGAAACUCAAAGGAAUUGACGGGGGCCCGCACAAGCGGUGGAGCAUGUGGUUUAAUUUGAAGCAACGCGAAGAACCUUACCAGGUCUUGACAUCCCGCUGACCGCCUUAGAGAUAAGGCUUUCCCUUCGGGGACAGCGGUGACAGGUGGUGCAUGGUUGUCGUCAGCUCGUGUCGUGAGAUGUUGGGUUAAGUCCCGCAACGAGCGCAACCCUUGAUUUUAGUUGCCAGCAUUCAGUUGGGCACUUUAAGGUGACUGCCGGUGACAAACCGGAGGAAGGUGGGGAUGACGUCAAAUCAUCAUGCCCCUUAUGACCUGGGC